RNAcentral lists this ribosomal RNA (253 nucleotides) under uncultured bacterium. Its description in RNAcentral is "partial 16S ribosomal RNA". It matches the Rfam family "Bacterial small subunit ribosomal RNA", at positions 524 to 776 of the family's 1533-position model. The record is from RNAcentral.
UACGUAGGGGGCAAGCGUUGUCCGGAAUCAUUGGGCGUAAAGAGCGCGUAGGCGGCCCGGUAAGUCCGUUGUGAAAGUCAAAGGCUCAACCUUUGAAAGCCGAUGGAUACUGCCGGGCUAGAGUCCGGAAGAGGCGAGUGGAAUUCCUGGUGUAGCGGUGGAAUGCGCAGAUAUCAGGAGGAACACCAAUAGCGAAGGCAGCUCGCUGGGACGGUACUGACGCUGAGGCGCGAAAGCGUGGGGAGCGAACAGG